Cyprinus carpio (common carp) is the source of this 637-nucleotide long non-coding RNA. RefSeq lists it as uncharacterized. The transcript has 2 exons. NCBI's taxonomy places the organism in Eukaryota, Metazoa, Chordata, Actinopteri, Cypriniformes, Cyprinidae. The record is from RefSeq and is a predicted model, not a curated record.
CGAUCUGCUAAUACGCUGAAUAAAAGCGUCUGCUAAAUUAAUAAAUGUAAAUGUAAUGUAAUAUGCGUUCUGUGCACUCAAAUUGAGCGCUCUCUUCUCGCUACCAGGACAAGACACGCCCCCUUACUGCUGAUUGGCUACAAGUCCCAGAUAGCAAGCAUAGUCGGCCCGAUUCUGACUGAUUGUCGGCACAAUCGGCCAAUAGCAUCCAGCUGCAGCCCCGCAGACUCACUUCUUGCUAGACACCAGUGGCUGGACACCAGUGGAUGGACAGCAGACGUCAUUUCAUAAAAGUAAAAUGACAAUACGGAAAAGACGUGUGCAAUUAAGCCUGCAAAGAAAGAAUGCUUUCUAUCCACUGGUGAAAACAGAAAAUAAAUAUGCUGUCUAUCCAUAGGUGAAAAUAUAAAAUAAAUAAAUGUCUAUCCAGAGGUGAAAAUAUAAAAUAAAUAUUCUGUCCAUCCAGAGGUGAGAACUAAAUAUGCUGUCUAUCCAGAGGUGAGAACUAAAUAUGCUGUCUAUCAAGAGGUGAAAAUAUAAAAUAAAUAUUCUGUCCAUCCAGAGGUGAGAACUAAAUAUGCUGUCUAUCCAGAGGUGAAAAUAUAAAAUAAAUAUAUCUCAAUCCAGCGGUGAAAAU